CCAAGGAGUCUAACGUGUGYGCAANUCGCAGGGNGAUCUAAGCCCRGAGGUGNAAGCGAAGGCGAUGAGGGAGGGCAUCCUCCMAGUGGGGCCGAUCCGCCGAUGGCGGCRCAGGCCCRGGGUGGGGGACCGAGGGGAGCCCCUGCACCCNGAGCRUAUGYGCUAGGACCCGAAAGAUGGUGAACUAUGCCUGGUCAGGAUGAAGCCGGGGGAAACCCCGGUGGAGGUCCGCAGCGGUUCUGACNUGCAAAUCGAUCAUCGGAACUGGGUAUAGGGGCGAAAGACCAAANAAACCAUCUA
This 300-nucleotide ribosomal RNA is filed under the name Speleonectes gironensis. RNAcentral's name for it is "partial 28S ribosomal RNA". It matches the Rfam family "Eukaryotic large subunit ribosomal RNA", at positions 666 to 946 of the family's 3401-position model. The record is from RNAcentral. Lineage: Eukaryota; Metazoa; Arthropoda; Remipedia; Nectiopoda; Speleonectidae.